RNAcentral lists this long non-coding RNA (1070 nucleotides) under Marmota monax (woodchuck). The record is from RNAcentral. Lineage: Eukaryota; Metazoa; Chordata; Mammalia; Rodentia; Sciuridae.
CCCCAACCCAGUCUCUGACAAACACUACUGUGGGGUUCAGGCAGGUGGAGUUUCCUGCUUGCCCCUGAAAAGAUUAUACUCACACUGGCCACCCCUACCACCAGGGUACUCACAUCAGAGCUAUACUUCAAAAUCCCUUUUCCUCCUUAAAUCCUGGCUGACAGCCCGCUUUACACUGACUCCCUCCCUGGCUUUCUUUAGGCUCAAGGAUACUGAGGAGAGAUGCAUUUACCACCUAAUGAGGCUCACACUUGUGGAUUCUUCUGCAACCCCCUUGAAAACUGAAGAUGUAUUUUUUUUUUACAAUCUUGCAUGUUUUUUCCCUUUUUUCUUCUUUUUAAAAAUUUUGUUCUAAUUAGUUUUAUAGGACAGCAGAAUGCAUUUUGACACACUGUACAGAAAUAGGGCACAACUUCUCCUUCCUCUGGCUGUACAUGAUGCAGAGUCACACCAGUCAUGCAAUCAUACAUGUAUAUAGGGUAAUAAUGUCCAUCUCAUUCCACUACCCUUCUUACCCCCACAUUCCCCCUCCCCUCACUCCCUUCUGCCCAAUCCAAAGUUCCUCUGUUCUUUUCUAGCCCCUCCCUGCUGAGAGCCAUAGCGGAGUCGAAUGACGAAUGACACAUGGCAUUUUUGCCAGAAGGAGUGGUUGAGAGGUGAUGCCAGCAAGCCAUUGAGAUGAUAAUGGUUAUGUUAAGCUGUGUAUUCAAUUGUAUAUUAGACCCCUGCUGUCCGCCUGCUACUUUGGAGUUCUCACAGGGAUUCCUGAGUUCCCAUUGGUUGGGGAAGUGCCAGAGGAGGGAUUUCCGGUUGGUGGUUCCUGGAGGAGCCGCGUGAUGUUCGGGAGAGUUCCCAGGGAGCGUGGGUGGAGUGUGCUGGUGGAGUUCAGAAAUAAAGUUUGUUCCUGCUUCAGUGGCUCGUGAUUUGUGCCCAGCCAGACCGCGGCACCUCCCCAUUAUGGAUCAGUAUCUGCUUAUCAGAGAAAACAUUCAGCCUUUAGUUUUUUAGGAUUGGCUUAUUUCACUUAGCAUGAUAUUCUCGAACUGCAUCCAUUUACCUGCAAAUGCCAC